Molecule: microRNA precursor, 118 nt
Filed under: Oryza sativa (Asian cultivated rice)
Lineage: Eukaryota; Viridiplantae; Streptophyta; Magnoliopsida; Poales; Poaceae
Description: miR5834 stem-loop (osa-MIR5834)
Source: miRBase by way of RNAcentral
UAACUUGCACACGGAUGUAGAAAUUGGUGAUUUUACAGAGGCGUUAGCUCAAGAAUUAUAGUAUGCAUUCGACACUCUGAAUAUGAUCUGAAUUUUGUUACAUCCCUGAAACAAGAAA